Long non-coding RNA from Camelina sativa (false flax), 889 nucleotides. RefSeq lists it as uncharacterized. NCBI's taxonomy places the organism in Eukaryota, Viridiplantae, Streptophyta, Magnoliopsida, Brassicales, Brassicaceae. The record is from RefSeq and is a predicted model, not a curated record.
AGGCACUCGACACACUGCAAAAAGUCGCUUUUGCCCUCCACUCGCUGAUGUCAUCCUUCCUACUCUUUUUUUUGGGUUUCGAUAUCUCUCUUUCUCUUUUCCCCCAUCCUCUUCAACUUUCUCAAUAGUUACAAACCAAAAAUUCCGGUGACCAACACCAACGGCGUAGGAGUCAUCGACUUGGAGAAUAUAUAUAGCAGCUUUAGCGGUUUGAUAAACCAGCGUCCAAGCCACAUCGACACACGAUUGGUAGCGAUUCAGGAAUUGCGAUAUGGGUUAUGAAGACUAGAGAUUAAGUCAAUAAACCGCUCGAAAGAGGUUGUAGAAGAUGAGGAUGAUGACUCUAAUGCAGAAUCCACUGAGGUUUGUACUUAUCAAAUCAAAGAAAGAUGAGGCUUGUUUCUUCAGACUCUAGCCAAUCUUAGAUGCGGUUAAGAUGUGUUUGGAUACAGAGGAAACAUCUACGAUUCAGAGCUUGUCCUAAGGAAGGAGCCAUUCGCAUGAUGUUAACUAUGGCAGAGGCCGUGGGAAGGUGCUUGCUUAGGAACUUGACAAUGAAGAAAUAGAGAGGAAGCUGAUUAGUGUUUUGAAAGAGAUGGUGAGAUUGCUAAGUACUUGAAACCCAUGUUUGGGUUCCUUAUUUACGAUCGAUAAGGGUUUAGUUUUUUUUUCUUUCAAUUUUUUUAAUGUAUAAUCUACUGUAUAUUGAUCGGUUUGGGUUUAUACGUCUUUGAUUAGGAUUCUCUAUUUACUAUCUAUUAGGGUUUAGUAUUCCCUUUUUUAAUCUUUUUUAUAUUAGGUUCACCUUACAUUAAUGGUUUGAGUUCAUAUGAUGUAAUUUUUUAAUUUUAUUAAAAUUUAUUGUCAUGAUAUUGGUAUUUGUUGCUAA